GACUUCCCAUGGUGAGUUCUGAAGGU
This 26-nucleotide non-coding RNA is filed under the name Mus musculus (house mouse). Lineage: Eukaryota; Metazoa; Chordata; Mammalia; Rodentia; Muridae. The record is from RNAcentral.